UACGGGGGGGGCAAGCGUUGUUCGGAAUUACUGGGCGUAGAGGGCUCGUAGGCGGCCAACUAAGUCAGACGUGAAAUCCCUCGGCUUAACCGGGGAACUGCGUCUGAUACUGGAUGGCUUGAGUUCGGGAGAGGGAUGCGGAAUUCCAGGUGUAGCGGUGAAAUGCGUAGAUAUCUGGAGGAACACCGGUGGCGAAGGCGGCAUCCUGGACCGACACUGACGCUGAGGAGCGAAAGCCAGGGGAGCAAACGGG
Molecule: ribosomal RNA, 253 nt
Filed under: uncultured bacterium
Lineage: Bacteria
Description: partial 16S ribosomal RNA
Rfam family: Bacterial small subunit ribosomal RNA
Source: RNAcentral